Leopardus geoffroyi (Geoffroy's cat) is the source of this 7513-nucleotide RNA transcript. It is a transcript of the gene named diacylglycerol kinase gamma, with no coding region annotated. The transcript has 26 exons. NCBI's taxonomy places the organism in Eukaryota, Metazoa, Chordata, Mammalia, Carnivora, Felidae. The record is from RefSeq and is a predicted model, not a curated record.
GGGGCGGGGCGCCGCAGUGCCGUAGUAGCGGGCAACUGGGACGCACUGCUUUGGAGCCGCGGAUACGCGAGCAGGCGCAGGACCCGGCGCUGCUUAGCCCCCGUCCCGCCGCCCCAGCCCCGCGGCGCCCGCUCUGGCCGUCCCCCUCCCCGAGAGGGCUGCACUGGCGGGAAGGCGCCCAGACCACAGCCCCGGCCCCCCUUCCUGCCUCUCGGUUCCUCUUUCCUCCCAAGUAAGGGAAUAAGCCCCGAGGAAGGAGCGCCCCGGGGAACCGCGCAACCAAGUGUUGCAUGGUGAGGAGGAGCAAGGAUUUCUGAAGACCUUGACUACGGAUAGAAGCAUGCUGUUGGAAGAGUAGCACAGGCCUUCUCUCAUCUGCUCAAACGUGCCCACUACUGCCAUAGACACGUGCAUCCUCCGUGGUUCCUGAAGGGCCUGUCCACCGUGUACCUGCAGUGAACCAGGCCCUGGGCUGGGCCUCAGCUUCACCCUGGUGAACAAAACUCCAUCCCUGGCCUCAAGCACUCACACCCAGGUUAAAGAUGAGUGAAGAACGGUGGGUCUCCCUUACUCCAGAAGAAUUUGACCAACUCCAGAAAUACUCAGAAUAUUCUUCCAAGAAGAUAAAGGAUGUCUUGGCUGAGUUUAAUGAGGGUGGGAGCCUCAAACAAUAUGAUCCACAUGAGCCAAUUAGCUAUGAUGUCUUCAAGCUGUUCAUGAGGGCAUACCUGGAGGUGGACCUUCCUCAGCCACUGAGCACGCACCUCUUCCUGGCCUUCAGCCAGAAGCCCAGACAGGAGACCCCUGACCACCCAACGGAGGGGGCCAGCAAUGAGGCCAGUGGCCCAGAUGCCAGCAUACAGAAUGUGGAUAAUGGUGCCAAAGCAGAUGAGGCGUGUGCCCCUGAUACAGAAUCAAAGAUCACCGAGAAGCAGGUGCCAGCAAAAGACCAAGUGGCUGCAACCCUCCUGGGAAAUCCUGUUGUUCCAUCUCCAGGCUCCGAAUCCCCUAUAGUGUACCUGAAGGAUGUCGUGUGUUACCUGUCCCUGCUAGAGACGGGGAGACCUCAGGAUAAGCUGGAAUUCAUGUUUCGUCUCUAUGAUUCAGAUGAGAACGGUCUCCUGGACCAGACGGAGAUGGAUUGUAUUGUCAACCAGAUGCUUCACGUUGCCCAGUAUCUGGAGUGGGAUCCUACGGAGCUGAGGCCUAUACUGAAGGAGAUGUUGCAAGGAAUGGACUACGACCGGGACGGCUUUGUGUCUCUAGAGGAAUGGGUCCACGGAGGGAUGACCACCAUCCCACUGCUGGUCCUGCUGGGCAUGGAUGACUCUGGCUCCAAGGGGGACGGGAGACAUGCCUGGACCAUGAAACACUUCAAGAAACCCACCUACUGCAACUUCUGCCACAUCAUGCUGAUGGGCGUUCGGAAGCAAGGCCUGUGCUGUGUUUAUUGUAAAUACACUGUCCACGAACGCUGUGUAUCCAAAAACAUUCCUGGAUGUGUCAAAACAUACUCAAAAACCAAAAAGGGCGGUGAGGUGAUGCAGCACGCGUGGGUGGAAGGGAACUCUUCUGUCAAGUGUGACCGGUGCCACAAAAGUAUCAAGUGCUACCAGAGCGUCACCGCGCGGCACUGCGUGUGGUGCCGGAUGACGUUUCACCGCAAAUGUGAAUUAUCAACGUUGUGUGAUGGUGGGGAACUGAGAGACCAUAUUUUGCUGCCCACUUCAAUAUGCCCUGUCACCCGGGACAGGCAAGGUGGGAAGUCUGAUGGCAGCGUGUCAGCCAAGGGUGAACUUGUGAUGCAGUAUAAGAUCAUCCCCACCCCGGGUACCCACCCCCUGCUGGUCUUGGUGAACCCCAAGAGUGGAGGGAGACAAGGAGAAAGAAUCCUUCGGAAAUUCCACUAUCUGCUCAACCCCAAACAAGUUUUCAACCUGGACAAUGGGGGGCCCACUCCAGGGUUGAACUUUUUCCGUGAUACUCCAGACUUCCGUGUUUUAGCCUGCGGAGGAGAUGGGACAGUUGGCUGGAUUCUGGAUUGCAUUGAUAAGGCCAACUUCGCAAAGCAUCCACCGGUGGCUGUCCUGCCUCUUGGAACAGGAAAUGACCUGGCCCGCUGUCUCCGCUGGGGAGGAGGUUAUGAAGGGGGCAGCUUGACAAAAAUCCUGAAGGACAUCGAGCAGAGCCCCUUGGUGAUGCUAGACCGCUGGCAUCUGGAAGUCAGCCCCAGAGAAGAGGUGGAGAAUGGGGACCAGGUCCCGUACAACAUCAUGAACAACUAUUUCUCCAUUGGUGUGGAUGCUUCCAUUGCACACAGAUUCCACGUGAUGAGAGAGAAGCACCCUGAAAAAUUCAACAGCAGGAUGAAGAACAAACUGUGGUACUUUGAAUUUGGCACCUCUGAGACCUUUGCGGCCACCUGCAAGAAGCUGCAUGACCACAUAGAGUUGGAGUGUGACGGGGUUGGGGUAGACCUGAGCAACAUCUUCCUUGAGGGCAUUGCCAUUCUCAACAUUCCCAGCAUGUACGGAGGCACCAAUCUCUGGGGAGAAACCAAGAAGAACCGGGCUGUGAUACGGGAAAGCAGGAAAGUCGUCACUGACCCCAAGGAACUGAAAUUCUGCAUCCAAGACCUCAGUGACCAGCUCCUCGAAGUGGUGGGGCUAGAGGGAGCCAUGGAGAUGGGGCAGAUCUACACUGGCCUGAAGAGUGCGGGCAGGAGGCUGGCCCAGUGCUCCUCUGUCACCAUCAGGACAAACAAGUUGCUGCCAAUGCAAGUGGAUGGAGAGCCCUGGAUGCAGCCACCUUGCACAAUUAAAAUUACUCACAAGAAUCAAGCACCUAUGAUGAUGGGGCCUCCCCAGAAGAGCAGCUUCUUUUCACUGAGGAGGAAGAGCCGUUCAAAAGACUAAACAACGUGCCAAAUGCCAGUUAAACCAAGAGAGAAAAUAAGAAACUGUAACACACACACACACACACACACACGCACGCACGCACGCACAGGCACACACGCACACUCAUCUCUAACCAGUGGAAGCAAAGCCACCCUUCAGGAAGAAAUCUUCAUCUUCCCGUACGUUCAUUCUCUCUUCUUCAACAAAGAACACACCCCAACAGAGCCAGGACCCCCAGAAAAUUUUGAAUGGACCCAGGGCCCACCAGGGUGAUGUUGGCUCUUGCAGCAACCUCACAUUCCCAGAAGGCCUUGAGUGGGACUUUCUGAGACUGAAGGAGAAGUCCCCCUUUCUUCCCACCAGUCUUGCAAGGUCCCUCACGGACGCUCACAAGGAAGCAGGCUGCAGGUUUCCUGCCUAUGGUGAGAUCGGAUGUGGCCAAGGGAAAGCGCUCCCAUUCCAGAGAACUUACACAAAGGUCCCUCUGUACAGAGACAAACGGCCUCCAACUCUCAAAGCAUAACCCUUGGCAGGGCUCAGCAAGUGCACGUUGGUUUCUUAGUUGUCCUUCAAGCAGCAACUUCUGCCUGAACUUGCUGAGGAGGCAGAAAGGCUGUGGAAAGCUGUGUUUCCAUUCUUGGUUCUCCACACUGUCAGUGGGCACUUGUUAUUUUCCCAAAGCCUUCUCCUGGUGGCUGUGUGUUUGUUUGGAGACGGCUCCAAGAGCCCCCAGAGCUGCCUGUACAGCACACCUUAGAUGUGGUAUUUAUUUUCUUAGUUCUGUGAACACCUGGGAGGGAAAGCAGAGAAACUGGGAUUUAUUUUUCAAAUUGGUGUCAUAAUAUUGUGUAAAAAGGGAAGAAAAAAAACCACCCCCAGCUUCUUUCUUUUUCAAGCCAAAGCGUGUUUCCUGUUUGAGUUCCAAGCCCUGGUGGCAGACUAUUUCCUGAAGGCAGAGAAGAUGAGAAGGAAGGACCAGGAGAAGACCUGGAGACAAACCAUCAGGUGGCUCCCACCUGCGUCUUUGCACCUACCACUCCCAGAGUGUGAGCUGAAGGCCCUUCUGAUGAUCUAAUGUGUGUGUACAUAUAUGUAGCAUAUAUAUUUAUAUAUAUAUAUAUAAAUAUUUAUUUACUGAUGGACUUCUCCUGACUGAAAAAAAAAAUAUGUAGAAUAGGAACAGAAAAGUGGGAAGGAAAAAGAAAGUUUUCACUCCCCCAUUCCACCAUUUCAUGGUCAAGACACAUUUCCCCAUGGUGAUCAUGAGAUUUAAGGGAAGUGAAAGUAGCUUCUUAUUGUAAAGAGACUGAGAAUUCCUAUUCUGGAUUCUCAAAACAACCAUGAAAGAUACGCUGGACAGAAUUUACUCUCCCAUUUGUCAGAUAAAGGCACCGAGUCUCUGAAAAGUUAAGAGACUUGUCUGUGGUAUCUUAGCUAAUGUGGUUUGAGAAUAAGUGCCACUAAGAGGAUAUUUAUUAGGGAAAAGAACCCACACGUCUUAGAAUAGGGUCAUUUCUGGUCACUGGGAAAUGAUUCCAUUCGAGUCCAGGUUGCCAGGGAAGAAGGAACAUGUAGCCCGUGUGAGGACGGGACAGGCCCACAUGAGAACAUAGGGGCCUUGUGAUGCUUCCCGGAGAUUCUGUCUGGCCUGAACUGGUAAGAAGUUGGUCUGGGUUGAAGGCACUAGACAGAUCAUCAAAUUAAACUCUAUCACGUGUCAACUCAUCAUGGUCCUCAUGGCCUCCUAGUCUGGAAACACCUCUGGCUGCAGGGAUGACCUCAGUGGAGACUCACAAGAUGGACUGAGGCACCUUCUUCAAGGUGCUCCCAGCCAGUACCCAGAGGGGUCUUGGCAGAGGCCAAUGGGCUUCCUGCAGCUGGUGCCGGCAUCACCCUCCUUUCCUGAGGGCAAGUCUGUAUAGAACUUCAUUACUAGACAGAAACAUUUGCCUUGGCGCCUUCACUCCACUGGACCGCCAUCCCUUCUGAGAUUUCUUAAGAGGAAACGUGGGCCCACUAGACAUUGCUCCACUGAGCUCUGUCUAAUCUUGCACUGUGUCAGGAGCUUUGCACAAGGAAGGGAAAUUAAGACUGUGUGUACACACUGAUCCUAACUGUGAAGGAAGCAGUCAUCUAGGACCAUCCUGCUGGACCUAAUAGUGCAAAACAGUGGGUGAGGGGAAAACCAGGCCGUCUGGAGAAUGUCUUGAAUGAUGGGAUCCUUGGUGAUGGGAUGGACCAGCAAGCUCCAGAAUAACAACAGGUACUAUCUUGGAAGCCACUUGAUUUCGAAACAAAGGCAGGUGUGGGCUCACUAAUUCUGAGACAUUUACAGACAUUUUUGCAUGUCUGAUCCCCCAAGAUUGAGGCUGUCGAAACAUAGCACUGUCAACAGGUGGAACUGAGUCUCAGUGAUUCACAAGUCAGAGUGGCCGUGGCCUGCUCUAGUCCAGUGCAUAAGACUUGCAGUGUUGCUUGAGAGACAUGUCCCAAGGCCUCCUUAGAACCACACAGUAUAAUACACCAGUGGAAUUGCACUUCCAGCUUGGUGAAUGGGAUGCACUUCUCGGGGCUACCUAAUAGAUUUUCUACCCAACUCUGUGAGUGGGAGAGCAGCAAGCUGUCUUCUCAGACAUAAAUGCCAUGGUCAACGGUGACUGGCCUGCACAAGGAAGGAGGGCUGGGGUUGUUGAAGGGAGCCUCCAGCAAGAAGGCUCUGCAUGUGAUCCUCAUUAGUGAUAGGCGUGGGCUGGGCCAUCUGUAUUCCACAGGAGAACAGAAUGGCAGGCUGCCUUUCAGAUGCCAAGAGAAGCUAUCUAAUGGGAAGAUCCAGAGAGCUCAAAAAGCAGACAGGCAUCUUUCCUCAAGGGGAUCUCUGUAGGAAUCCAGGGACAUAGAAAACCAAGGGUUUUUGGAAAUAAGCUGCUUAACUUGCUGGGUACCUACCCUGGCUACCACUUUAUUCUUCAUGUCCAUGGUGCAGAAUGGCAAGCCAAGCCCUGCAGCCUCAUCUGCUAGCUAAAUUCCCUUCGAUGGAGCCCACGGUGAACCUACGUUAUCCUAAAAUCUGUGGAUGCUGUGGCAGGUGCAUCAUAGCAAGGCACCAGGGUUUGCAGUUAAGCCUUCAAGUCUCCCAAGGGUCAGGAAACACUGUAACCAGGAGAGACCAUAUGAUUGGAUGUUCCAUGCAGAUCCUAGAGAAAUAAUCAGAAAACAUGAGGACAACUGUAAAUUGGUCAAGUUAGGAAAAUGCAAUUUGGAAGCAAAGAAGAGAACAUAUAAUGCAAUGUCAAGCACAUAGUAGGUAAUGAGUAAAUAUUUGUUAAAUGAAUGAAUAGCUAAAGUGGGUAUCUGUCCCUGUAUCCUGGAAUGGAUAGGGGAAGGGGGGGUAGAGGUGAUGAAAGCUUUUUAACUAACAGCUCAGGAACUUGAAACCACAGGAUGUAGAGGGAGCUCAUGGGGGCCUCUAACUACCCAGACAUCUGUUGAAUGAUGGACACAGCUAAAUAUGGAUCAUCAAAGGGCUUUCUAGGUCACAUGGAGGGCAGUUUCAUGAUUCAGAAAAUAUGAAAUUCAACUUGGACAGAAAGACAGAAAUAUUUGCAAUCUACUUCUUAGCCAUCAGGUCAGAAUGGACAAAGAAUAAAAAGGUAGCACAGAAGCGGAGUUACAACACAGUGAGAGAUCAGCAUAAUAAGGUACAGAUUCAGAAGAUGAAAAGACAUGGAGAACUGGGUUUUUUAGCAGAUAUUUGGGCAAGGAAGCUGAGCACUAUAGUUCAAAAUGAAAGAAAGGACUGACAAAUCCUUUAAAAAAAAAAAAAGCAGCUUAAAGCUGAGUUAAUGGUAAUAUGUGGGACAUGUCCAGGCAUUAAUGAAACUCUUAUUAAAUAACUAUCAUUUAUUGUGCAGUCCAAAGCCUAUUACUUUUAUGACCACUGCUAAACUUCACAGGAACUCUCCUGAAGUGGGUGGUAUACAGCUCCCUACUUGACAAACAAGGACUGAGACACGGAGCAGAUCUCAUAGCAGCAGAUCCAGGAUUCGGAUCUGUCAGUAUCUGCCUUCAAAGCCAUGUUUGCACCUCACUGCCACUGCUGAUGACUCUGAGCUUCAAGCGUAGUGGCAGGGAUUCACCACCCCAAACCGAUCCCUUGUGCACGACUCAGCGGACUUCCUUCUCAACCUGGAAAUCUGAGUCCACGAAGCUGGGGUGGGAAACAGCACUCACUUGGCCAGCCACAGAGGCUCAUUGAGAAGGAGUGGACCUGGGCUGUGGAAGGUGUGUGCAUACUUCACCCUCCCUUCUUCUUAGGCCCUCUCUCCAACGCGCCAGCUGGGCCGUGUCCUAGGACCUUACUCAGACAGCAUCCAGCCAACAAUGAACAGCUGGUAAAGAACUCACCAGAUCAGGGUGUUCACAUAAUAUGAAAGAUCAUCUGAAAAGAUACACAGAGACCAUAUUAAAGAUCAGGAGCAAGUGAAAUGAGGUCAGGUGGUCAAGCCUCAGAAUUUAGCAACUGAUACCUAAAGGUGGAAAAGAGAUCCAAAAUGUCCUUUUAAAAAUCUGUUGGAUGAAUCAUAAUUUGGAGUAAAAAGACUGCUUCUGGAAUGAUG